RNAcentral lists this ribosomal RNA (549 nucleotides) under uncultured bacterium. Its description in RNAcentral is "bacterial SSU rRNA". It matches the Rfam family "Bacterial small subunit ribosomal RNA", at positions 355 to 896 of the family's 1533-position model. The record is from RNAcentral.
UAGGGAAUCUUCGGCAAUGGGGGGAACCCUGACCGAGCAACGCCGCGUGAGUGAAGAAGGUUUUCGGAUCGUAAAGCUCUGUUGUUAAGGAAGAACGAGUGUGAGAAUGGAAAGUUUAUACUGUGACGGUACUUAACCAGAAAGGGACGGCUAACUACGUGCCAGCAGCCGCGGUAAUACGUAGGUCCCGAGCGUUGUCCGGAUUUAUUGGGCGUAAAGCGAGCGCAGGCGGUUAGAUAAAUCUGAAGUUAAAGGCAGUGGCUCAACCAUUGUAGGCUUUGGAAACUGUUUAACUUGAGUGCAGAAGGGGAGAGUGGAAUUCCAUGUGUAGCGGUGAAAUGCGUAGAUAUAUGGAGGAACACCGGUGGCGAAAGCGGCUCUCUGGUCUGUAACUGACGCUGAGGCUCGAAAGCGUGGGGAGCGAACAGGAUUAGAUACCCUGGUAGUCCACGCCGUAACGAUGAGUGCUAGGUGUUAGGUCCUUUCCGGGACUUAGUGCCGCAGCUAACGCAUUAAGCACUCCGCCUGGGGAGUACGACCGCAAGGUUG